GGAUGAACGCUAGCUACAGGCUUAACACAUUGCAAGUCGAGGGGCAGCAUCGCGAUAGCUUGCUAUUGCGGAUGGCGACCGGCGCACGGGUGAGUAACGCGUAUCCCAACCUUCCCGCAACUGGGGGAUAACCUUGCGAAAGUAAGACUAAUACCCCCAUGGUCUCCAUAGAAGGCAUCUGAAAUGGAGUAAAGGUUUCGGCCCGGUUGCGGAUGGGGAUGCGUCCCAUUAGCUUGUUGGCGGGGUAACGGCCCACCAAGGCGACGAUGGGUAGGGGUUCUGAGAGGAAGGUCCCCCACAUUGGAACUGAGACACGGUCCAAACUCCUACGGGAGGCAGCAGUGAGGAAUAUUGGUCAAUGGGCGGAAGCCUGAACCAGCCAAGUAGCGUGCAGGAAGACGGCCCUCUGGGUUGUAAACUGCUUUUAGUCGGGAAUAAAAUGCGGCACGUGUGCCGCUUUGCAUGUACCGUCAGAAAAAGGACCGGCUAAUUCCGUG
Molecule: ribosomal RNA, 497 nt
Filed under: uncultured bacterium
Lineage: Bacteria
Description: bacterial SSU rRNA
Rfam family: Bacterial small subunit ribosomal RNA
Source: RNAcentral